GGCUUGGUCCUGACUUUACUAUAAGCUUUAGCCGAACUUAUACAUGCAAGUCUCCGCGCCCCUGUGAGAAUGCCCUCACCCCCCCCCCCCCGGACAAGAGGAGCUGGCAUCAGGCACACCUCUCGAGCCCAAGACGCCUUGCUAAGCCACACCCUCAAGGGAAUUCAGCAGUAAUAAACAUUAAAACAUAAGUGAAAACUUGAUUUAAUUAAGGCUAAAAGGGCCGGUAAAAUCCGUGCCAGCCACCGCGGUUAUACGGAAGACCCCAGUUUAUAGCUACGGCGUAAAGGGUGGUUAGGGGAAACCUAAAAUAAGGCCAAAGAGCCCCUAAGCAGUCAUACGCUUCCCGAGAACACGAAGCCCAGAUACUAAAGUCGCCUUAAACCUUACCUGACCCCACGAAAGCUGAAAAACAAACUGGGAUUAGAUACCCCACUAUGCUCAGCCUUAAACCCAGAUAAAAUUUACAAAACUAUCCGCCAGGGGACUACAAGCACAGCUUUAAACCCAAAGGACUUGGCGGUGCCUCAGAUCCGCCUAGAGGAGCCUGUUCUAGAACCGAUAAUCCCCGUUAAACCUCACCACUUCUUGCCCUUACCGCCUGUAUACCACCGUCGUCAGCUUGCCCUGUGAAGGCUCUAGUAGUAAGCAAAAUGAGUUUAACCCAAAACGUCAGGUCGAGGUGUAGCACACGAAGUGGGAAGAAAUGGGCUACAUUUUCUAUUACAGAAUACACGAAUAAUGCCAUGAAAACAGCAUCUGAAGGAGGAUUUAGUAGUAAAAAGUAAGUAGAGUGUACUUUUGAAUUAGGCUCUGAGGCGCGCACACACCGCCCGUCACCCUCCCCCCUUCACCCCAACCACAACUAUUUCUAAUACCUAGACAUAACACACGGGGAGGCAAGUCGUAACAUGGUAAGUGUACCGGAAGGUGCACUUGGAACAAUC
RNAcentral lists this non-coding RNA (947 nucleotides) under Pseudohemiodon apithanos. RNAcentral describes it as "partial 12S ribosomal RNA". It matches the Rfam family "Bacterial small subunit ribosomal RNA". The record is from RNAcentral. Lineage: Eukaryota; Metazoa; Chordata; Actinopteri; Siluriformes; Loricariidae.